AGCAGCCGCGGUAAUUCCAGCUCCAAUAGCGUAUAUUAAAGUUGCUGCAGUUAAAAAGCUCGUAGUUGAAUUUCGGGAUCAAUAUGUUGGUCGUGCCUCGGUACGUACUAGCUUAUUGGUUUCUUCCUUCUGACGAACCAUAAUGUCAUUUAUUUGGUGUUAUGGGGAAUCAGGACUGUUACUUUGAAAAAUUAGAGUGUUUAAAGCAGGCUCACGCUUGAAUACAUUAGCAUGGAAUAAUGAAAUAGGACGUUUGAUUCUAUUUUGUUGGUUUCUAGGAUCGACGUAAUGAUUAAUAGGGAUAGUUGGGGGCAUUAGUAUUCAAUUGUCAGAGGUGAAAUUCUUGGAUUUAUUGAAGACUAACUACUGCGAAAGCAUUUGCCAAGGAUGUUUUCAUUAAUCAAGAACGAAAGUUAGGGGAUCGAAGACGAUCAGAUACCGUCGUAGUCUUAACCAUAAACUAUGCCGACUAGGGAUCGGAUGAUGUUAAUUUUUAAUGACUCAUUCGGCGCCUUAAC
Molecule: small RNA, 518 nt
Filed under: uncultured Glomus
Lineage: Eukaryota; Fungi; Glomeromycota; Glomeromycetes; Glomerales; Glomeraceae
Description: SSU rRNA
Rfam family: Eukaryotic small subunit ribosomal RNA
Source: RNAcentral